UUAAGCGACUAAGCGUACACGGUGGAUGCCCUGGCAGUCAGAGGCGAUGAAGGACGUGCUAAUCUGCGAUAAGCGUCGGUAAGGUGAUAUGAACCGUUAUAACCGGCGAUUUCCGAAUGGGGAAACCCAGUGUGAUUCGUCACACUAUCAUUAACUGAAUCCAUAGGUUAAUGAGGCGAACCGGGGGAACUGAAACAUCUAAGUACCCCGAGGAAAAGAAAUCAACCGAGAUUCCCCCAGUAGCGGCGAGCGAACGGGGAGGAGCCCAGAGCCUGAAUCAGUGUGUGUGUUAGUGGAAGCGUCUGGAAAGGCGCGCGAUACAGGGUGACAGCCCCGUACACAAAAAUGCACAUAUUGUGAGCUCGAUGAGUAGGGCGGGACACGUGGUAUCCUGUCUGAAUAUGGGGGGACCAUCCUCCAAGGCUAAAUACUCCUGACUGACCGAUAGUGAACCAGUACCGUGAGGGAAAGGCGAAAAGAACCCCGGCGAGGGGAGUGAAAAAGAACCUGAAACCGUGUACGUACAAGCAGUGGGAGCACGCUUAGGCGUGUGACUGCGUACCUUUUGUAUAAUGGGUCAGCGACUUAUAUUCUGUAGCAAGGUUAACCGAAUAGGGGAGCCGAAGGGAAACCGAGUCUUAACUGGGCGUUAAGUUGCAGGGUAUAGACCCGAAACCCGGUGAUCUAGCCAUGGGCAGGUUGAAGGUUGGGUAACACUAACUGGAGGACCGAACCGACUAAUGUUGAAAAAUUAGCGGAUGACUUGUGGCUGGGGGUGAAAGGCCAAUCAAACCGGGAGAUAGCUGGUUCUCCCCGAAAGCUAUUUAGGUAGCGCCUCGUGAAUUCAUCUCCGGGGGUAGAGCACUGUUUCGGCAAGGGGGUCAUCCCGACUUACCAACCCGAUGCAAACUGCGAAUACCGGAGAAUGUUAUCACGGGAGACACACGGCGGGUGCUAACGUCCGUCGUGAAGAGGGAAACAACCCAGACCGCCAGCUAAGGUCCCAAAGUCAUGGUUAAGUGGGAAACGAUGUGGGAAGGCCCAGACAGCCAGGAUGUUGGCUUAGAAGCAGCCAUCAUUUAAAGAAAGCGUAAUAGCUCACUGGUCGAGUCGGCCUGCGCGGAAGAUGUAACGGGGCUAAACCAUGCACCGAAGCUGCGGCAGCGACGCUUAUGCGUUGUUGGGUAGGGGAGCGUUCUGUAAGCCUGCGAAGGUGUGCUGUGAGGCAUGCUGGAGGUAUCAGAAGUGCGAAUGCUGACAUAAGUAACGAUAAAGCGGGUGAAAAGCCCGCUCGCCGGAAGACCAAGGGUUCCUGUCCAACGUUAAUCGGGGCAGGGUGAGUCGACCCCUAAGGCGAGGCCGAAAGGCGUAGUCGAUGGGAAACAGGUUAAUAUUCCUGUACUUGGUGUUACUGCGAAGGGGGGACGGAGAAGGCUAUGUUGGCCGGGCGACGGUUGUCCCGGUUUAAGCGUGUAGGCUGGUUUUCCAGGCAAAUCCGGAAAAUCAAGGCUGAGGCGUGAUGACGAGGCACUACGGUGCUGAAGCAACAAAUGCCCUGCUUCCAGGAAAAGCCUCUAAGCAUCAGGUAACAUCAAAUCGUACCCCAAACCGACACAGGUGGUCAGGUAGAGAAUACCAAGGCGCUUGAGAGAACUCGGGUGAAGGAACUAGGCAAAAUGGUGCCGUAACUUCGGGAGAAGGCACGCUGAUAUGUAGGUGAGGUCCCUCGCGGAUGGAGCUGAAAUCAGUCGAAGAUACCAGCUGGCUGCAACUGUUUAUUAAAAACACAGCACUGUGCAAACACGAAAGUGGACGUAUACGGUGUGACGCCUGCCCGGUGCCGGAAGGUUAAUUGAUGGGGUUAGCCGCAAGGCGAAGCUCUUGAUCGAAGCCCCGGUAAACGGCGGCCGUAACUAUAACGGUCCUAAGGUAGCGAAAUUCCUUGUCGGGUAAGUUCCGACCUGCACGAAUGGCGUAAUGAUGGCCAGGCUGUCUCCACCCGAGACUCAGUGAAAUUGAACUCGCUGUGAAGAUGCAGUGUACCCGCGGCAAGACGGAAAGACCCCGUGAACCUUUACUAUAGCUUGACACUGAACAUUGAGCCUUGAUGUGUAGGAUAGGUGGGAGGCUUUGAAGUGUGGACGCCAGUCUGCAUGGAGCCGACCUUGAAAUACCACCCUUUAAUGUUUGAUGUUCUAACGUUGACCCGUGAUCCGGGUUGCGGACAGUGUCUGGUGGGUAGUUUGACUGGGGCGGUCUCCUCCUAAAGAGUAACGGAGGAGCACGAAGGUUGGCUAAUCCUGGUCGGACAUCAGGAGGUUAGUGCAAUGGCAUAAGCCAGCUUGACUGCGAGCGUGACGGCGCGAGCAGGUGCGAAAGCAGGUCAUAGUGAUCCGGUGGUUCUGAAUGGAAGGGCCAUCGCUCAACGGAUAAAAGGUACUCCGGGGAUAACAGGCUGAUACCGCCCAAGAGUUCAUAUCGACGGCGGUGUUUGGCACCUCGAUGUCGGCUCAUCACAUCCUGGGGCUGAAGUAGGUCCCAAGGGUAUGGCUGUUCGCCAUUUAAAGUGGUACGCGAGCUGGGUUUAGAACGUCGUGAGACAGUUCGGUCCCUAUCUGCCGUGGGCGCUGGAGAACUGAGGGGGGCUGCUCCUAGUACGAGAGGACCGGAGUGGACGCAUCACUGGUGUUCGGGUUGUCAUGCCAAUGGCACUGCCCGGUAGCUAAAUGCGGAAGAGAUAAGUGCUGAAAGCAUCUAAGCACGAAACUUGCCCCGAGAUGAGUUCUCCCUGACCCUUUAAGGGUCCUGAAGGAACGUUGAAGACGACGACGUUGAUAGGCCGGGUGUGUAAGCGCAGCGAUGCGUUGAGCUAACCGGUACUAAUGAACCGUGAGGCUUAACCUU
RNAcentral lists this ribosomal RNA (2904 nucleotides) under Escherichia coli. Its description in RNAcentral is "23S ribosomal RNA". It matches the Rfam family "Bacterial large subunit ribosomal RNA". The record is from RNAcentral. Lineage: Bacteria; Pseudomonadati; Pseudomonadota; Gammaproteobacteria; Enterobacterales; Enterobacteriaceae.